RNAcentral lists this small nucleolar RNA (138 nucleotides) under Salvator merianae (Argentine black and white tegu). The record is from RNAcentral. Lineage: Eukaryota; Metazoa; Chordata; Lepidosauria; Squamata; Teiidae.
AAGCACUGACUUUGAACUGGUGUGUGGCCUGCUCAUGGCCUCACUAGUUACGCUACAGUGCAAAAACAAAGGACUUGCUUACUACCGGUGUUGCUCAGUUUAAACCUGAGCAGCUCCUUUUAAGGGCAAGUUACAUUC